This is a long non-coding RNA of Helianthus annuus (common sunflower), 561 nucleotides long. RefSeq lists it as uncharacterized. The record is from RefSeq and is a predicted model, not a curated record. The transcript has 2 exons. Lineage: Eukaryota; Viridiplantae; Streptophyta; Magnoliopsida; Asterales; Asteraceae.
CAUACACACUUAUUGUGUUGAUCUCCAGGAGAAGAAAAGGGGUGCAAACCCUAGUUCAUAAAGAAUCUUCAAAAUUGAAGGGAAAUUGGAGCUCAAACCCAUUAACGAGCAUGAAUUAAUGAUCACCUACACAAGAUGAUCACAAGUGCAGGUACAUCAUUGUUGGAUCAUUAAAGGAUUGACACGGAAAUGUAAAAUUGGAAGUCAGGGAGUUAUCCGGAUGACAUGCAUUUAAGAAUGGAACGUGAUAUGGCUAUUUAAUUACGUAUUUUAGAUUACGCUUAAUGUCACCAAGUACUAAUAAUGUGAAUGUAUGUGGUGACCACAGGUUACACAGAUCAUUACUAUUAAUCACAAGGGACAAGCGAGUGAAGAUCGAGUCAAAGAACGUGGAUUGUAUAGAAGGAUGGUCACUUGAUCGUAGUCACAUGUUAUAUUUGAAAUAUAUAAAUUAAAAGAUGAAUGAUGAAAUUAUUUUAAAUGAGUUGUCCUUAGAUGUUUAUUAAGUAUGUUAGGACAUGUAUAAAGAAAGAAAUUUUAAGGUUUGUAUUUUUCGCUGCG